AGGCAGGUGCUUGUGCUGCUGAGCUGUAUCCCUGGCCCUUAUGCCCCAUGGCCAAAUUCUCCAACCUAGUGAGCUUCUCUGCACAUGAACUUCUCUCUGUGGGACAUCUUUACUUAACUUGACUAACUACUGUCAUUCUUCAAGAUCAAGGAACUGACUAAUAAAACAUGGUGAAAAUAAAAGACUAGAUCUACCUCUGCAAUGCCUGGUAUUAGAAGACGGGCAGACUGAAUA
Chinchilla lanigera (long-tailed chinchilla) is the source of this 234-nucleotide long non-coding RNA. RefSeq lists it as uncharacterized. The transcript is spliced from 3 exons. The record is from RefSeq and is a predicted model, not a curated record. Lineage: Eukaryota; Metazoa; Chordata; Mammalia; Rodentia; Chinchillidae.